CAUGCGCCACCAUGCCUGGCUAAUUUUGUAUUUUUAGUAGAGAUGGGAUUUCUCCAUGUUGGUCGGGCUGGUUUCAAACUCCCAACCUCAGGUGGUCCGCCUGCCUCAGCCUCCCAAAUUAAAUGCCUUAAAAAAUGUUCACAUUAUUUAACCAAAAGACACAACAUCAUUUGGUAAUUAAAAAUUUAUUCAAUUUUUCUUGACAAUAUUUGUUAAACACUUACUACAUGCUUGGUACUAUGCUAAUUGCUAAAGAGUCAAUGAUUUUGAAAACAAGUGCUCAACGUUUUGGGGGAGAAUUUUUAUUGAUUAGCUGCCAUGAAAUCACUCAUCAUACUUCUGGUAAGCUGCCAUCUGAAGAGGCAUGAAAAAGUUCCGUGGUGUCUGCUGAGUGUUCUCGGUUAAUCCAGUCCAAAUUAAUUCCCACCCAUACUUUCUUACUUUAUAUUUUACACAGUGUUCACCCUUAGAGAUGACAAACACAGCUGAUAAAAACUUAGUAUAAAGGCUGAAUCAUGAGGCCAGGAAGUUAAAAGAAGCAGGUAUCUUUGAGUAAGAUAUUUUCAUCCUCAAAUCAAGUCUACCAGGCACAUCAAGAAUAUUUGAUAUCAGCAUCAUAAUUUUGCGUUUUUGAAUAAACUUUGUAAUUAUAUUACUUGUAAUACAUUUUCCAAAGAAGAAAACUAAACACUGCCAAAUGGUAAGAUAAUAAUAAUAAAAGGUACAAUCCUAUUAUUUAAACUAAAUUGUGAAUAUCUAUAUAAGUAAAAAUGUUUGAGCAUUUAUUUAUUUGGUUAGCAUUUUCCUAUGGAAGUGUAUACAUUGUUCAUAUUAUGGAGAAAUCUCACAGGAAGAACCCCACAAUUGUCUUGGUUUUAACCUCCUUAUACAGAAAUUUAGAUUUAUAUUUUUCUCUUGAUUCAAAUUAUUUUCCCUCAGAAUUCAAAUUACAUAUAUUUUCACAACUAAAAUUCUGACUCACUUUUCUACUUUUUCCCCUUAUAAUUUAUAUUUUGGCAGGUUGAGCAAUUGGUGUGGUAACUGCUCAAUGCAGCCCUCCUGCUGAAAUGAGGAUCCUGCUGAAAGAACCGGGUAGUACACCAACCACUCACUUCGCCAGUUCACUUUUUUAGCAGAAUAAUAGCCACGAGUCAAUGAGAAACUGCUAAAACUACUAAUGUCUUCUCCCAAACAAGAAAAUCAAUCUCCGUAAUGCAAGAGACCUAUUUCAAAAGAUAAAAUUACCACACUAAAUAUUUUAGAGAAUAAAAAUACAAGCCACAUUUAAAACCAUUUUAAAAAUAGCCAUAUUCAUGGUGAACACCAUGUACUCUUGCUAUAAAUAUAAAAAAUCUUCAUGAUAAUGAAUUAUAAAUUGAAAGGGGUUAAUUUUUUGAAAAAGUAAGCCUAACAAAAAAUAACUGUUCAAAAUUAUUCAAUAUAUAUUCUGUAUAAAAUAAUUUUUAAAAUUUUUUUUGCAAUAGGAAAAUUUGAAAAUCAGACCUUAGCCAAAAGUUCAAAGUUAGCAUAACUAAUAGUGGGACAACUUGAAAUUAUGCAGCUCAUAAAGCAAUGCAAUAUAAUGUAUACACAAUGAUGUUUAAUUUG
RNAcentral lists this long non-coding RNA (1608 nucleotides) under Homo sapiens (human). RNAcentral describes it as "non-protein coding CASC6:2". Lineage: Eukaryota; Metazoa; Chordata; Mammalia; Primates; Hominidae. The record is from RNAcentral.